AUGUGGAAAGCAACAAGCUUGCAGUAAAAUGGCAAAAUAUUGGCAGUGGAUGUUAUAUGGCAAGUGUUUGCUGAUGGAAUCCAGAUCAACUGUAGGUGCAGAGCUACAGGGAGUGAGUUUUGGUGCUGAUCUUACACACGAGUCUAAUCUGGUACAAAAAGAUGCUCCCAGGUUCUAUCCACUACCUCCUGUCUCCUCACUCCUCAGCACCCUGCUGCCCCUAGAGGAUAAAGCAGAACAUAAAUCGUUUGAGUAGAUGGGAGGUGUUGUUGCUGCCCGGCAGACGAAAAAUCCUGUGCCAACCUUCCCUGCAGAGUCACUGAGAGGAAUGACCUGGCAUCAUCCUUCUGUAGAGAAAUUACAAAUCCCUUGGCUCAGCAUGUUUAUAACAUUUGCAAAUGUUUGUACACACACACACACACACACACAUAAAUGCGCAAACUCAUAUAACCCUGUGGCAGAACAGCUUGCUAUUAUUUACAUGCCAAUGUGUUCUUGAAUAUAUUUAUUUGGGGGUGUUAUAAUAAAAAACAAUCUUAUUGGA
Xenopus laevis (African clawed frog) is the source of this 544-nucleotide long non-coding RNA. RefSeq lists it as uncharacterized. Lineage: Eukaryota; Metazoa; Chordata; Amphibia; Anura; Pipidae. The record is from RefSeq and is a predicted model, not a curated record. The transcript has 2 exons.